UGAGGGAGACGGAGAGAGCAAGAGAGAGAGAGAGAGAGAGAGAGAGAGAGAGAGAGAGAGAGAGAGAGAGUUGAAAACACAAGCUCUGUCUCCGGUGACAACA
RNAcentral lists this small RNA (103 nucleotides) under Arabidopsis thaliana (thale cress). Its description in RNAcentral is "ATSL301850". Lineage: Eukaryota; Viridiplantae; Streptophyta; Magnoliopsida; Brassicales; Brassicaceae. The record is from RNAcentral.